This 456-nucleotide long non-coding RNA is filed under the name Homo sapiens (human). Its description in RNAcentral is "non-protein coding lnc-NCOA3-21:2". The record is from RNAcentral. Lineage: Eukaryota; Metazoa; Chordata; Mammalia; Primates; Hominidae.
GUCAGCAGUGGUUUCCUACACCUGCAACUCAAGAACUCUAAGGGUUACUGCCUCCAUUGUUUGUUAAGGCACCACAAGACUUUGCUGAACUGUACAUAAUGCUUUAGGUCAAUAAGUGAUAUUAGCUCACUACAACCUCUGGCUCUUGAGCUCAAGCCAUCCUCCUGCCUCAGCCUCCCGAGUAGCUGGGACUAUAGGCACGUGCCACCAUGCCCCGCUAAUUUUUUUUUUUUUUUAAGUAGAGACGAGGUCUUGCUAUGUUGCCCAGGCUGGUGUCGAACUCCUGGGCUCAAGCUGGGCUCAAGCUAUCCUCCUGUCUCAGCCUCCCAGUGAGCACUAUAUUAGUUAGCACAUAGAUUCUGUACAAAGAUCAAGAGAGAACAGUCUACUUUAUUUCCCAUUUAGUAGUCCAUCUAUAAGGGGUUGAGAGCUAUUUGGGUGGCUUCCUGUUCUCUG